GGCGCGGAGCAUGCUGUCCCUCCUGGCUAGAGCCGCCGCCGGGCCGCUCCGCUCGCUGGGCCGCUCGCCCUUCAGCUCGCUGCCCGGCCUCCUGCAGCUCUUCGCCGGGCUGAAGACGAAGACGACGCUCAGAAGGCGCUGUAAGGACUGCUUCAUUGUUCGCCGCAGGGGCCGGCUCUACGUUUGCUGCAAGACCAACCCCCGGCACAAGCAACGGAAGCUGUAGCGCCGCGGUCGCCGCCCGUCGGAGCGGUUGCCCAAAAGGGCUUUUCCGUGGAGCUCCUGAGAGGAGAGAAAUAAACGUGGUGUUUCUGUGUAAGGUUCUUGGCAGGCAAUGAGAAGCUGGAAAGUUGUGGCUAAAUAACCCAGAGGCAAUGGUUAUUGACUGGUCCCUAUGUGUCUGAGCACUUUGUCUUUUCAUUCACGUCUCACUACAGGAAAUGUGGAUUUGGAAAGAGAGGAACAGAGUCAUGAAAAGGGAACUUAUAUGAUAUGUUUAAAGGAACGACAAGACAGUAAAUACAAAGCAAUAAUCCAGGACUCAGUCUGGAGGAUGAAGAAUUCUAUCCUAAGAGAGAUGAAGAAUGUCAUCCUACCACAGCCAUGCACAGCAGUCUCAGGAGGAGCAAAUGGAUUAUAUCACCUUCCUGAAAGGAGAAAGAGGCUAAAGGUCUCUGAAGAUGAGGAAGAGCUCUGCAGGGAUGAGAAUGCUAGCUUGGGCUUGGGGACAUUUCCCCACCAUGAGAGUGCCUAUAACUUCUGUGCUCGGUGCCCCACAGCUCUGCCCCACAGCCUGCUUUACACAUGUGCCCCCAGACUUAGAGACUCAGGAAGGUACUCACCAACACUCUAUUCUCCAUCUUCCCAUGCCAUGGUGGCUCUAAAUAUGGUCUUCUGUGAGUUUUUCAUGUCACUUGACCUCAGGCAGAGGGAGAGCCUAUGUGGAAAGCUGGCAGGAGAGAACAGGCUGCCUGAAGGGAGUGGAUUUUCCAGGGCAUACUGUGGAGAUAUGUCGUAUUUCCAAACACGUCCCACACAGACAGCAGCCUGGCUUCAUGAAUCAUCUAACUGAGCAAGAAGAGAGCUGGAUAGACUGAGAUGCCAUGCCUCCAAGAGCGAGCUCAACACGACCUAGACAGUUUGGUUAUGACAGCUCAGCUUCCCGUCUUUGUCCCUUAGUGCAUGACAUCUUUCUGGCCUGACACUUCUAGCUUUCCCAGAUUAAAACUUCCUAUUUGGUGCUGAUGUUGGCUGCCGUUUAGUUGAUUACUUCUAGACUGUUCCUUUUGAUUUGAUGACCACCCAUGGCUCACAGCCAGAUAAGUUCACUGAUGGUAUUUACUGGCACAAGUGUACUUCAGCAUUUUCCCAUGACAAAUGCCACUAUUUCAGGGCCUCAUGGGUGCUCACAUGGCUGAAGAAAGAUCACACUGUGUUGUGUUUUGAUAAUGCUUUCAUGUUGCUGAAGCUCUCUAACAAACAGCAUCUGCCUUCUCCACAGCUGGCUAAUGGUACCUCUGCUCUCCAGAGAAGGCAGAUCUAUUACUUUCAGUUUCUUCAGUCUCCUUCAAACCACACAUACCUAAAAGCCAGCUAGCGGAGGGGAUGUUGGGGAGAGCUCCGUGUUAGAUAACUAAGGUUGCUAGUCAGACUAUAAUUUAACCAGUCCUGGGAGCCUGGUGUUAGCAGUUCAGCAUACUGUUUCCCUACACAGAGCAUGAUGAACAGACAAAUGGCUGUGUUUAGGCAGCAUUAUGAAAAUUAACUCUGGAAGUAGGCCCGGUGUCAUUGCUCACAGUAAUGGUAACAGCUACCAAACACUUGGCAUUUGCAGAGAUUCUCCAGCUGCUACCACUGGAGACUGUUUUUUCACAGCUUCCACACAAUGAUCUGAUUUCUUACACUGCAUUACAAGAACACACAUUUCUCACCAUAUGUGCAGAAGGCUGUGCAAGGAGCCUUUUUACUCAUAACAACAUCUGCAGAGUUUCAGACCAAAAGCUUAUUUCACUCUGUAUUGGUCAUUAAUGGACGCAUAGAGAGAAGACAUCAAAGAAAAGCAUGCGACAGUA
Molecule: long non-coding RNA, 2072 nt
Filed under: Anser brachyrhynchus (Pink-footed goose)
Lineage: Eukaryota; Metazoa; Chordata; Aves; Anseriformes; Anatidae
Description: lncRNA (ENSABRG00000008115.1)
Source: RNAcentral